ACCACCUCUCUAUCUCUAGCCUCCAAACAUGAGUCUUUUCGGUAGAAAUCUCUUCAGGGUGAUGGCCAUUGCUGGCAUCUUGUUGCUUCUUGGCUACGAAGCCCCAGCGGAGGCCAGGCUCUUGGUUGAAGAAAGGAAGCUGGUAGAUGAUGUGCUCAUGAUCCAGUCCCUACCCAAAGGGUCUGGUGGUUCUUCGGCUUCGGGUUGCACCAGUGGGUCGGCCAACGAUGGCGGACAGUGCCCAAGUCCUUGACCUUGAGUACUGCAUCUUCGUUGAGAGUGUCUUCAUCUCCACAGUGUGUUCAUUUUCUUUGGUAAUUUUGGAUCAUUUUUCUUUUCUUUUCUUUCUUUCUUUCUUUCUUUUUUUUUUUUGGUUUCCUAUUCUUUGAAAUUAUUAGAUAUAUGUACUGAGAAGAUCCCACAGGCUGUCUCUGCGCUGCGCAGCCCUUUAGGAGGAUAGCUGUUGCACCGGAGAGUCUGAGGAUGAUUCAUUCAAUCUUGAAUUGAUUGCUUGUAAAUAUAUUUUUUGAGAGAAAAAAAGCAUUGUAUAUGACAUUAAUUAAUAUAUUGAUUUAUUAUUUAUAGCAUUUUAUCCG
RNAcentral lists this long non-coding RNA (596 nucleotides) under Elaeis guineensis (African oil palm). RNAcentral describes it as "long non-coding RNA (EGUI_LNC001425)". The record is from RNAcentral. Lineage: Eukaryota; Viridiplantae; Streptophyta; Magnoliopsida; Arecales; Arecaceae.